GUCACUUUGCCGGAGAGGUUAACGGGAUCGCCUGCUAGUUUUCGCACGGGAUUUCUCAGCCAGUGUUGACGUCAGCGGUUGGGCUUUGCCCGCGUGUGUUCGAAUCGCACAGGUGACG
Molecule: non-coding RNA, 118 nt
Organism: Lentinula lateritia
Lineage: Eukaryota; Fungi; Basidiomycota; Agaricomycetes; Agaricales; Omphalotaceae
Source: the annotation of a GenBank genome assembly